GCAGAUGGGCUUGGGUUAAUGGCCUUGAAGACACACACUUGGCCUGGGUCACUGGCCCUGAAUUAGCACCCUGGGCCUGGGUGCUUGGCCCUGAAGACACACUCUUGGCCUAGAUCACUGGCCCUCAAGUCACACCAUUGGCCUUGUUGUCUGGCCUAGAAGACACACUCUG
Non-coding RNA from Vicugna pacos (alpaca), 172 nucleotides. The record is from RefSeq and is a predicted model, not a curated record. NCBI's taxonomy places the organism in Eukaryota, Metazoa, Chordata, Mammalia, Artiodactyla, Camelidae.